AAAAUUAUAAUGUGUGUACCAUUGACACCACUUCUAAGUAUUUUCACAGGAGAAAUGAAAAUGAGUUUUCCCACACGGAGGAGAUGAAGCAUUCUCUCCUGAACGUGAAGCCGGCUCUUGGUGUUGCUUCACUGCCUUUUGCCAUUUGAUGAUCAUUCUUCUCUCUUUCAGGAGAGUAGAGGGAGAGGAUGCAGUCUGAGUGGA
This 204-nucleotide small nucleolar RNA is filed under the name Nannospalax galili (Upper Galilee mountains blind mole rat). RNAcentral's name for it is "Small nucleolar RNA U3 (ENSNGAG00000007604.1)". It matches the Rfam family "Small nucleolar RNA U3". Rfam says of the family: Small nucleolar RNAs (snoRNAs) are involved in the processing and modification of rRNA in the nucleolus. There are two main classes of snoRNAs: the box C/D class, and the box H/ACA class. Lineage: Eukaryota; Metazoa; Chordata; Mammalia; Rodentia; Spalacidae. The record is from RNAcentral.